GCAAACUUGGUCAUUUAGAGGAAGUAAAAGUCGUAACAAGGUUUCCGUAGGUGAACCUGCGGAAGGAUCAUUACCGAGCUUUGAAGGAGUUUUGCUUAGCAUCUCUCCUUUGUUCUCUCUUUUUCACCCUUUUUGUUAUCAUUUUUUCUCAGUUGCUUUGGCAGGAUUGUGGACCCGGUUCGUUCUUCUGCCAAGGGAUUUUUCUUAAACACCUUUUUUAUCCAAUAAUCGGGGAUUAUCUCUCGUCUGAUUUAUGACUUUUGAAUAAGUACAUAAAACUUUCAACAACGGAUCUCUUGGUUCUGGCAUCGAUGAAGAACGCAGC
This 325-nucleotide unclassified non-coding RNA is filed under the name uncultured fungus. RNAcentral describes it as "partial contains small subunit ribosomal RNA, internal transcribed spacer 1, and 5.8S ribosomal RNA". The stretch from base 1 to 73 matches the Rfam family "Eukaryotic small subunit ribosomal RNA", at positions 1759 to 1831 of the family's 1831-position model. The record is from RNAcentral. Lineage: Eukaryota; Fungi.